AUGUUGUACGAAAGGAGAGAAGGUUAGCACUCCCCUUGACAAGGAUGGAAUUGGCCCUUGUGGCCUGCAACACAUAUAUACGGUUAAGCCAUUGUCACCUACUUCGUGGCAUUUCUAACCAUGUUUUAGG
RNAcentral lists this non-coding RNA (130 nucleotides) under Fundulus heteroclitus (mummichog). Lineage: Eukaryota; Metazoa; Chordata; Actinopteri; Cyprinodontiformes; Fundulidae. The record is from RNAcentral.